This 1329-nucleotide long non-coding RNA is filed under the name Gopherus agassizii (Agassiz's desert tortoise). RNAcentral describes it as "lncRNA (ENSGAGG00000007546.1)". The record is from RNAcentral. Lineage: Eukaryota; Metazoa; Chordata; Testudines; Testudinidae.
CUGGCAGAGGCCGAGCGUGGCACGGACCACGAGGCCCGGGCACAGGGAGGGCAGGGCCCCAAACAGACACACACACCGGCCGAGACCGGCAGCCGAGCAGGCCGCGCCCGAGCCCUCCGCCCCUGCCUGAGAAGAGAAGUCACCGUACCCGUCCGCAGGGCGGAGCGGCCCGCGCCGCGCGCUGACACCAGCCACACGAGAGUCGCGCCGAGCGAGGCAGCCGCAGGGCGAAGGCGGGGCUCCCAACGGAAGAAGCCGCCGCGGGACAUGAGUGAUCGCGCUCUAGCCGGGUGGGCGGGAGCAUGACACGGUACCAGUACGUUCUGCGUGCGUGGGCGCGGGGGUGCAAAGGGCGAGGGGGCACGCGACUGUUGUUUAGGUGGCGUGGGCGCGGCUCGCCAUCGCGGGCGCCCCGGAUGGGCACGCCCCGCCGCCCGCUCUCAUGGAGAACCCUGCAGCCGCCGCACAUGGAAAGAGGAGCGCGCUGGGGGUUACAGUGGACGGAAGCCGCCGAGGAACAACCCUGGGACAGGCGCGAGCUCUACUCAACGAGGGCCAACCGCCUUCCUUUACUUCUUCCGUGGCUCUGGGGUCGUUGGGCCCAUAGGGAGGGGCGGUCCGUUGAUUGGUUGCUCCCGCCCACGCCAGUGAUGACAUGCUGUUAUUGUAUUGAAGCUGGUGUGAGUGUUGCCACUGAUUCUCAGCACCCUGCUUUUCUUCUCUCUCUGUUUGGACAGGAGAAAGCCUGCCAGUUUUCCUGUUUGACUUUGGGCAUGUAUAUCGCUUGGGCAGUCUCUCUUUGGAAUCUGUCAUACCACUUCUGAACUGAUGAAAGAUUUUUUUCCUCUCAGGGACGUAGUAUGCAGACUUUUCCACAUCCUUAGCAUGGGAAGUAAACACCAGCCUGCUAAAUGGCAGUGCAGAGGUACAGAGUGUUCCCCACAUGACCGUUGUGCCAUAUACAAUGGGUGAAUAUAACGUAACUGAAUGAUAUGCUGUACAUCAUUUAGCGUACGUCCAGACUACCGUGCCGUAUCAGCGNGGAGUUCCGGAAUUGACACGGAGAGCCGCGGACAUCGAUCCCGCGCUGUCUGGAUGGGUGAGUAAUUCGAUCUUAGAUAUUCGACUUCAGCUACGUUAUUCACGUAGCUGAAGUUGCAUAUCUAAGAUCGAUUCCCCCCCCAGUCUGGACGAGCCCAAACUUACAUGUCAUUUCAUUCCCAUUUAAUAACAUGGACGUAUCAGUUUAAAAACAUGUAAAAGGAUCUGAGAAGCAUAAAAAUUAUCUUCAAACCACUCAUGUAAUAAAGGGGCCAAAAUACAAUGACA